GAUGAACGCUGGCGGCGUGCCUAAUACAUGCAAGUCGAGCGAACAGACGAGGAGCUUGCUCCUCUGACGUUAGCGGCGGACGGGUGAGUAACACGUGGAUAACCUACCUAUAAGACUGGGAUAACUUCGGGAAACCGGAGCUAAUACCGGAUAAUAUAUUGAACCGCAUGGUUCAAUAGUGAAAGACGGUUUUGCUGUCACUUAUAGAUGGAUCCGCGCCGCAUUAGCUAGUUGGUAAGGUAACGGCUUACCAAGGCGACGAUGCGUAGCCGACCUGAGAGGGUGAUCGGCCACACUGGAACUGAGACACGGUCCAGACUCCUACGGGAGGCAGCAGUAGGGAAUCUUCCGCAAUGCGCGAAAGCCUGACGGAGCAACGCCGCGUGAGUGAUGAAGGUCUUCGGAUCGUAAAACUCUGUUAUUAGGGAAGAACAAAUGUGUAAGUAACUAUGCACGUCUUGACGGUACCUAAUCAGAAAGCCACGGCUAACUACGUG
This 497-nucleotide ribosomal RNA is filed under the name uncultured bacterium. Its description in RNAcentral is "partial 16S ribosomal RNA". It matches the Rfam family "Bacterial small subunit ribosomal RNA", at positions 28 to 507 of the family's 1533-position model. The record is from RNAcentral.